UCCAAUUUCAUCUUCCCAAAUCCAAAUUUUGUUGGUAUGUUUUCCCUCUCUCCUUCUCUCCUCCCUUGUUUAUUUGUUACGCUAGUUCACACUUUUUUUUUUCUUUUUUUCUUUUUUGUAUUUUUCUAUUUUGUCCAAUCGAUUUUCACUGUUGUUUGAUUCAUCCUCUUAUUUUUUCAUUUUUCUUUAUAAUUGUCUGAUGAGUCUUUUAUUCUUUUUUCACUUUUUUAGUUGAUUUUUGAUCGGAUCCGAAUUGAUCUGGGAUGGAUCAGAUGACUUGUCCAUUUUUGGACAACUCGGAGAUGAUUCAAUUCAAGUCGACUGAGUUUGUCAGAGUUCUCGGCGAGUCUUCCGUCACCGUGGCAAUGUGGACUGGACACGGACCGGAGUCCUCCAAUCUAGUGAUGACUCUCGGAUCUUUGAACCAUGACUAUGAUAUGUUUAAUGUAAUUUUUUCCAUCAGUGCAUAUCUCAUGGAAUGAAAUAUUAUAUUUUAUCA
This 499-nucleotide long non-coding RNA is filed under the name Coffea arabica (coffee). Its description in RNAcentral is "long non-coding RNA (CARA_LNC004645)". The record is from RNAcentral. Lineage: Eukaryota; Viridiplantae; Streptophyta; Magnoliopsida; Gentianales; Rubiaceae.